AAAAAAAUAAGCUAAAUAAGCUAAUGGGUUCAUACCUCAUUUAUAAAGGAAUCACCUUUUUUUUUUA
RNAcentral lists this transfer RNA (67 nucleotides) under Chabria nr. angulicollis REN-2018. Its description in RNAcentral is "tRNA-Met". Lineage: Eukaryota; Metazoa; Arthropoda; Insecta; Coleoptera; Chrysomelidae. The record is from RNAcentral.